RNAcentral lists this long non-coding RNA (205 nucleotides) under Panax ginseng (ginseng). Its description in RNAcentral is "long non-coding RNA (PGIN_LNC015992)". The record is from RNAcentral. Lineage: Eukaryota; Viridiplantae; Streptophyta; Magnoliopsida; Apiales; Araliaceae.
UCAAUGUUGUCACAAAGGUUUGAUACUUAGCCGCAUUCGAGUAAUCAUAAUAGUCCAUCAGCCUAUCAUAUACUUGGUUGUGGUCGUAUGGAUCUCCCGAACCAUCAUAACUUUCCAUAUAGGGGAGCUUUUUACUGGGGUCCGCCUUCUCCCGAAGGAUUUCCAGAGAGAAAAGGGAUAACUUUUUCCCCGAACUCUCCUUCCC